UUUUGGGGGAGAAAUCAGUUUUAUUCUGUGAGAUCGAUCUGCAAGGAGACAGGGGGCAUGUGCCUUCAGUCCUGUCUCCCUGAUUCAGGAUUUGGGGCAAAAUGGAAGAGGUUAGAGAGGACAGGCUGGCAUGAAGAAACGCUGGCAAUAUGGGUUUUGAUUGGUGGGCUUCAGACAUUUAUGGUAAGAUUUUAAACAUUGAUGACAGGGUUCUAAACAUUUAUUACGAGGUCCUCAACUUUUAUGAUGGAGUUCUAAGCUUUUUGAUGAGAUUGGGAAGGAAAUUUAACACCGGCUCUUCCUGACCCUUCAAUUCUGAUAGGAGUCCAACUUUCAAGUUCCCAUCGGGUCCCACUCCUUGAGUUCUGUGGAAAGGAGGAUCUUCGGUUCCUCAGUCAUUUCAGAUUAGGAUUUCCUCUUUUGCACACGCUCCAGCUACGUGACUUUUCGAAUUUCCUGAAAGACAAUCCUUAAUCACUUUCUUGAUAAGAGAUGAUGUCGGUUCAAACUGGCUCUAAAUGGGCCCAUGGCUACGCCUCCACCUAGUUCCAGAAAAUAGCAAGUAGGAGCUGGUAUCAAUGAUAUGGAUCUGCCCUGGGUAUUCUGUGAGCACAGAGGAAGAGAGGUUCCAAUCUCUGUAUUCCACUCCUCGCUCUGCCACCAGUCAUCUCCACUUAGAAGGUGAAGGGGAGGGGCCGACCUGGUGGCCUAGUGGCUACACUUGUGCACUCUACUUUGGUGGCCUGGGGUUCACAGGUUAGGAUCCUGGGCACAGACGUAUACACCGCUCAUCAAGCCAUGCUGUGGUGUUGUCCCACAUACAAAAUAGAGGAAGAUUGGCACAGAUGUUAGCUCAGGGACAAUCUUCCUCGAGCAAAAAACAAAGAAAAAGAGGAAGAUUGGCAACAGAUGUUAGCUCAGGGCCAAUCUUCUUCAACAAAAAAAAGACAGAAAGAAAGUGAAGGGGAACAGAACAUGCCACCCCAAAGUGUGCCACUUUGGCACGUGGAUUACUUUGAGCUGAAGGCAAUCAAGAUCCAGCAGAUUCAGAAAAAGCUUUUUACCUCUCCCUUAACUGCCUAAAAGAAUGUAGAUAAGGUGCCUGGCCCAGAAAGAGAGCGAUUAUCAGAGACAACUUUUUUAUCUGAAAGGCUUACCUGCAUGGCAGGGCCAGCAUCUGAUGACCAAACCCCUGCUCUUCUACCUUCCUAUGAAUUGCCCUCCUCCCCUUGGAAGCUCCAGGCCCCUAUCCCAUUCCUUAGCUCAGGACGGCAUAUAAGCCUCAAUUGCCUGACUGCCUGUGAGUCUCCUGUCUCGGUGGGCUCCCGUAAGUACAUAAUUAAAAUUGUUUUUCUCUUGUUAAUCUGUUUUAUGUCAAUUUAAUUAUCAGACCUGCCAAAGAACCUAGAAGGGAAAAUUUUUCCGCCCCUACAAAAUUUGGCACUCCCUUACGUGGAAAACAAGGGCAGCAGGUGGGCGGAAACAGGAAACAUGGGUCAUCAACGAAAACUGAGCUCCUGAGCGCUCCACACCUGUGAGCUCCC
RNAcentral lists this long non-coding RNA (1544 nucleotides) under Equus caballus (horse). RNAcentral's name for it is "lncRNA (ENSECAG00000059173.1)". The record is from RNAcentral. Lineage: Eukaryota; Metazoa; Chordata; Mammalia; Perissodactyla; Equidae.